AUGCCAGGGCAGGGGGCGCCGGGGCAUAGGGUGAGGGUCGGCUACUACAACCGGAAGUGCCCCGCCGCGGAGAUCAUCGUCAGGGCCGUCGUCGGCAAGGCCGUCUCCCGGAACCCUGGCCUCGGCGCCGGCAUCAUUCGCAUGGCCUUCCACGACUGCUUCGUCCAGGGCUGUGAGGCGUCGGUGCUGCUGGACCCGACGCCGGCGAACCCGCGGCCGGAGAAGCUCGGCCCGCCCAACUUCCCCAGCCUGCGCGGCUUCGAGGUGAUCGACGCGGCCAAGGCGGUCCUUGAAAGGGUCUGCCCUGGAGUCGUCUCCUGCGCCGACGUCAUCGCCUUCGCCGCACGCGACUCCGCCUACUUCCUCAGCGGCUACAAGAUCGACUACAAGAUGCCGGCGGGGCGGUUCGACGGGAGCGUGUCGCUCGAGAGUGAGUCGCUCCAGUUCCUCCCCCCGCCCUUCUUCAACCUCACGCAGCUCGUCGACAGCUUCAAGGCCAAGAACAUGAACGAGGACGACCUGAGCAAGUGCCCCGUCAGCCCCAACUUCACCAACGACCCCACGGUGGUGCAGGACAUCGUCACCCCCAACCGGAUGGACAACAAGUACUACACGAACCUGCUCAAGCGCAAUGUGCUCUUCACCUCCGACGCGGCCUUGCUGACGUCGGGGAAGACGGCGCUGAAGGUGAUGGAGAACGCUUUCAAACCCGGGAGCUGGGAGAAGAAGUUUGCCAAGGCUAUGGUCAAGAUGGCUGCCAUCGAGCUCAAGACCGCUGCCAAUGGGGAGAUCAGGAGGAACUGCAGGGUCGUCAACAACUAG
RNAcentral lists this ribosomal RNA (822 nucleotides) under Triticum aestivum (bread wheat). RNAcentral describes it as "partial small subunit ribosomal RNA". The record is from RNAcentral. Lineage: Eukaryota; Viridiplantae; Streptophyta; Magnoliopsida; Poales; Poaceae.